RNAcentral lists this ribosomal RNA (1707 nucleotides) under Salmonella enterica. Its description in RNAcentral is "partial 23S ribosomal RNA". It matches the Rfam family "Bacterial large subunit ribosomal RNA", at positions 1252 to 2925 of the family's 2925-position model. Lineage: Bacteria; Pseudomonadati; Pseudomonadota; Gammaproteobacteria; Enterobacterales; Enterobacteriaceae. The record is from RNAcentral. RNAcentral also lists the same sequence under 1 other name.
GAAGGUGUGUCGUGAGGCAUGCUGGAGGUAUCAGAAGUGCGAAUGCUGACAUAAGUAACGAUAAAGCGGGUGAAAAGCCCGCUCGCCGGAAGACCAAGGGUUCCUGUCCAACGUUAAUCGGGGCAGGGUGAGUCGACCCCUAAGGCGAGGCCGAAAGGCGUAGUCGAUGGGAAACGGGUUAAUAUUCCCGUACUUGGUGUUACUGCGAAGGGGGGACGGAGAAGGCUAUGUUGGCCGGGCGACGGUUGUCCCGGUUUAAGCGUGUAGGUGUGUGUUCCAGGUAAAUCCGGUUCACUUUAACACUGAGGCGUGACGACGAGGCACUACGGUGCUGAAGCAACAAAUGCCCUGCUUCCAGGAAAAGCCUCUAAGCAUCAGGUAACAUCAAAUCGUACCCCAAACCGACACAGGUGGUCAGGUAGAGAAUACCAAGGCGCUUGAGAGAACUCGGGUGAAGGAACUAGGCAAAAUGGUGCCGUAACUUCGGGAGAAGGCACGCUGACACGUAGGUGAAGUGAUUUACUCAUGGAGCUGAAGUCAGUCGAAGAUACCAGCUGGCUGCAACUGUUUAUUAAAAACACAGCACUGUGCAAACACGAAAGUGGACGUAUACGGUGUGACGCCUGCCCGGUGCCGGAAGGUUAAUUGAUGGGGUCAGCGCAAGCGAAGCUCCUGAUCGAAGCCCCGGUAAACGGCGGCCGUAACUAUAACGGUCCUAAGGUAGCGAAAUUCCUUGUCGGGUAAGUUCCGACCUGCACGAAUGGCGUAAUGAUGGCCAGGCUGUCUCCACCCGAGACUCAGUGAAAUUGAACUCGCUGUGAAGAUGCAGUGUACCCGCGGCAAGACGGAAAGACCCCGUGAACCUUUACUAUAGCUUGACACUGAACAUUGAGCCUUGAUGUGUAGGAUAGGUGGGAGGCUUUGAAGUGUGGACGCCAGUCUGCAUGGAGCCGACCUUGAAAUACCACCCUUUAAUGUUUGAUGUUCUAACGUGGACCCGUUACCCGGGUUGCGGACAGUGUCUGGUGGGUAGUUUGACUGGGGCGGUCUCCUCCUAAAGAGUAACGGAGGAGCACGAAGGUUGGCUAAUCCUGGUCGGACAUCAGGAGGUUAGUGCAAUGGCAUAAGCCAGCUUGACUGCGAGCGUGACGGCGCGAGCAGGUGCGAAAGCAGGUCAUAGUGAUCCGGUGGUUCUGAAUGGAAGGGCCAUCGCUCAACGGAUAAAAGGUACUCCGGGGAUAACAGGCUGAUACCGCCCAAGAGUUCAUAUCGACGGCGGUGUUUGGCACCUCGAUGUCGGCUCAUCACAUCCUGGGGCUGAAGUAGGUCCCAAGGGUAUGGCUGUUCGCCAUUUAAAGUGGUACGCGAGCUGGGUUUAGAACGUCGUGAGACAGUUCGGUCCCUAUCUGCCGUGGGCGCUGGAGAACUGAGGGGGGCUGCUCCUAGUACGAGAGGACCGGAGUGGACGCAUCACUGGUGUUCGGGUUGUCAUGCCAAUGGCACUGCCCGGUAGCUAAAUGCGGAAGAGAUAAGUGCUGAAAGCAUCUAAGCACGAAACUUGCCCCGAGAUGAGUUCUCCCUGAGACUUUAGGUCUCCUGAAGGAACGUUGAAGACGACGACGUUGAUAGGCCGGGUGUGUAAGCGCAGCGAUGCGUUGAGCUAACCGGUACUAAUGAACCGUGAGGCUUAACCUUACAACGCCGAAG